GACGAACGCUGGCGGCGUGCUUAACACAUGCAAGUCGAACGGAAAGGCCCUGCUUUUGUGGGGUGCUCGAGUGGCGAACGGGUGAGUAACACGUGAGUAACCUGCCCUUGACUUUGGGAUAACUUCAGGAAACUGGGGCUAAUACCGGAUAGGAGCUCCUGCUGCAUGGGGGGGGUUGGAAAGUUUCGGCGGUUGGGGAUGGACUCGCGGCUUAUCAGCUUGUUGGGGGGGUAGUGGCUUACAAAGGCUUUGACGGGUAGCCGGCCUGAGAGGGGGACCGGCGACAUUGGGACUGAGAUACGGCCCAGACUCCUACGGGAGGCAGCAGGGGGGAAUAUUGCACAAUGGGCGGAAGUCUGAUGCAGCAGCGCCGCGUUCGGGAUGACGGCCUUCGAGUUGUAAACCGCUUUCGCAUGUGACGAAGCGGGAGUGACGGUAAUGGGUAAGGAAGCACCGGCUAACUACGUG
Molecule: ribosomal RNA, 468 nt
Filed under: uncultured bacterium
Lineage: Bacteria
Description: partial 16S ribosomal RNA
Rfam family: Bacterial small subunit ribosomal RNA
Source: RNAcentral